UCCUUGAUGAUGCAUAGACUCAUAGACUAUCAGGGCUUGAAGGGAUCUCAGGAGGUCAUCUAGUCCAACCACCUGCUCAAAGCCUGACCAAUCCCCAAUUUUUGGCCCAGAUCCCUAACUAGCCCCCUCAAGGAUUGAACAUACAACCCUGGGUUUAGCAGGCCAAUGCUCAAAU
Long non-coding RNA from Dermochelys coriacea (leatherback sea turtle), 175 nucleotides. RefSeq lists it as uncharacterized. The record is from RefSeq and is a predicted model, not a curated record. NCBI's taxonomy places the organism in Eukaryota, Metazoa, Chordata, Testudines, Dermochelyidae. The transcript has 3 exons.